This 496-nucleotide ribosomal RNA is filed under the name uncultured bacterium. RNAcentral describes it as "partial 16S ribosomal RNA". It matches the Rfam family "Bacterial small subunit ribosomal RNA", at positions 29 to 507 of the family's 1533-position model. The record is from RNAcentral.
AUGAACGCUGGCGGCGUGCCUAAUACAUGCAAGUCGAGCGAACGGACGAGAAGCUUGCUUCUCUGAUGAUAGCGGCGGACGGGAGAGUAACACGGGGAUCCCCUACCUAUAAGACUGGGAAAACUUCGGGAAACCGGCGCUUAUACCGUAAAAUAUUUUGAACCGCAUGGUUCAAAAGUGAAAGACGGUCUUGCUGUCACUUAUAGAUGGAUCCGCGCUGCAUUAGCUAGUUGGUAAGGUAACGGCUUACCAAGGCAACGAUGCAUCGCCGACCUGAGAGGGGGAUCGGCAACCCGGGAACUGAGACACGGUCCAGACUCCUAGGGGAGGCAGAAGUAGGGAAUCUUCCGAAAUGGGCGAAGGCCUGACGGGGCAACGCCGCGUGAGUGAUGAGGGUCUUCGGUUCGUAAAACUCUGUGAUUAGGGAAGAACAUAUUUGGAAGUGACUGUGCACAUCGUGACGGUACCUAAUCAGAAAGCCACGGCUAACUACGUG